This is a long non-coding RNA of Arabidopsis thaliana (thale cress), 423 nucleotides long. RefSeq annotates it as other RNA. The transcript has a single exon. NCBI's taxonomy places the organism in Eukaryota, Viridiplantae, Streptophyta, Magnoliopsida, Brassicales, Brassicaceae. The record is from RefSeq.
CGUGCUUUUAUCUCAUCAUUGCAUCAUCAUCAUCAAACCCAUAACAGUAAUCCAACAAAACAAAACAAAAAACAUUGAAAGAACAAAUAAGCUUCAGUGUGUGUAACAAAUUCAGUUCAUUGAUUCAAAAACCUCACUGAAAUCCGCUAAGAUAAUUGUUUUUUUUCAUCAUCAGCUCAUAAGUAAAAAAAAACAUCAACCAACAAAAAAAACAAUAACAGAGAAAUUUAUCUUCAAAUCAAUCAAAAGAUAAGAUAUUGAGUGAAAGGGGAAUUAAUACUCAGACAGCCAAGGGUUAAUCUUCAACUUCUGGGAGAAGAAUCCCAGAUCUGAAACUCUAGUCCACAAUACUCUUGUAUCAUCACCAUAUUCAACCCCUUCCACAUCCCAUAAAACUAAGACAUCACAAAUCUCUCUCACAAA